Non-coding RNA from Acanthosepion pharaonis, 113 nucleotides. The record is from the annotation of a GenBank genome assembly. Lineage: Eukaryota; Metazoa; Mollusca; Cephalopoda; Sepiida; Sepiidae.
UUACGGCCAAAUCACUUUGAAACACAGAGUCUCGUACGAUCACCGAAGUUAAGCAACGUCAAGCCUGGUCAGUUCCUAGAUCGGUGACCUCUUGGGAUUACCAUGAGUGGUAA